This 471-nucleotide ribosomal RNA is filed under the name uncultured bacterium. RNAcentral's name for it is "bacterial SSU rRNA". It matches the Rfam family "Bacterial small subunit ribosomal RNA", at positions 917 to 1382 of the family's 1533-position model. The record is from RNAcentral.
GGGCCCGCACAAGCGGUGGAGCAUGUGGUUCAAUUCGAUGCAGAGCGAAGAACCUUACCUGGGCUUGACAUGCAGGAAGUAGAAACCGGAAACGGGGACGACCUGUUAAGUCAGGAACCUGCACAGGUGGUGCAUGGCUGUCGUCAGCUCGUGCCGUGAGGUGUUGGGUUAAGUCCCGCAACGAGCGCAACCCUCACUCUAUGUUGCCAUCGGGUAAUGCCGGGCACUCUUAGGGAACUGCCGGCGAAGAGCUGGAGGAAGGGGGGGAUGACGUCAAGUCCGUAUGCCCCUUAUGUCCAGGGCUACACACAUGCUACAAUGGCCGAUACAGAGGGUUCCCAACCCGCGAGGGGGAGGCAAUCCCACAAAGUCGGUCUCAGUUCGGAUUGCAGGCUGCAACUCGCCUGCAUGAAGUCGGAAUCGCUAGUAAGCGCAGAUCAGCAGGCUGCGCUGAAUACGUUCCCGGGCCUU